UACGGAAGGCAGCAGUAGGGGAAUCUUCCGCAAUGGGCGAAAGCCUGACGGAGCAACGCCGCGUGAGUGAUGAAGGUCUUCGGAUCGUAAAACUCUGUUAUCAGGGAAGACAAACGUGUAAGUAACUGUGCACGUCUUGACGGUACCUGAUCAGAAAGCCACGGCUAACUACGUGCCAGCAGCCGCGGUAAUACGUAGGUGGCAAGCGUUAUCCGGAAUUAUUGGGCGUAAAGCGCGCGUAGGCGGUUUUUUUAAGCUGAUGUGAAAGCCCACGGCUCAACCGUGGAGGGUCAUUGGAAACUGGAAACUUGAGUGCAGAAGAGGAAAGUGGAAUUCCAUGUGUAGCGGUGAAAUGCGCAGAGAUAUGGAGGAACACCAGUGGCGAAGGCGACUUUUCUGGUCUGUAACUGACGCUGAUGUGCGAAAGCGUGGGGAUCAAACAGGAUUAGAUAACC
Molecule: ribosomal RNA, 455 nt
Filed under: uncultured bacterium
Lineage: Bacteria
Description: bacterial SSU rRNA
Rfam family: Bacterial small subunit ribosomal RNA
Source: RNAcentral